Molecule: ribosomal RNA, 253 nt
Filed under: uncultured bacterium
Lineage: Bacteria
Description: partial 16S ribosomal RNA
Rfam family: Bacterial small subunit ribosomal RNA
Source: RNAcentral
UACGGAGGGUGCGAGCGUUGUCCGGAAUCACUGGGCGUAAAGGGCGCGUAGGCGGCGCGGGUAGUCGUCGGUGAAAGCUCAGGGCUCAACCCUGAGUCGGCCGGUGAUACUCCCGUGCUCGAGCACUGUAGAGGCAGGUGGAAUUCCGGGUGUAGCGGUGGAAUGCGUAGAGAUCCGGAAGAACACCGGUGGCGAAGGCGGCCUGCUGGGCAGUUGCUGACACUGAGGCGCGACAGCGUGGGGAGCAAACAGG